UACGUAGGGUGCGAGCGUUAAUCGGAAUUACUGGGCGUAAAGGGUGCGCAGGCGGUUGAGUAAGACAGAUGUGAAAUCCCCGAGCUUAACUCGGGAAUGGCAUAUGUGACUGCUCGACUAGAGUGUGUCAGAGGGAGGUGGAAUUCCACGUGUAGCAGUGAAAUGCGUAGAUAUCGAGAGGAACACUCGUGGCGAAGGCGGGUUCCUGGGACAUAACUGACGCUCAGGCACGAAAGCGUGGGGAGCAAACAGG
RNAcentral lists this ribosomal RNA (253 nucleotides) under uncultured bacterium. RNAcentral's name for it is "partial 16S ribosomal RNA". It matches the Rfam family "Bacterial small subunit ribosomal RNA", at positions 524 to 776 of the family's 1533-position model. The record is from RNAcentral.